This is a long non-coding RNA of Lampris incognitus (smalleye Pacific opah), 289 nucleotides long. RefSeq lists it as uncharacterized. NCBI's taxonomy places the organism in Eukaryota, Metazoa, Chordata, Actinopteri, Lampriformes, Lampridae. The record is from RefSeq and is a predicted model, not a curated record. The transcript has 3 exons.
GCGGUGUGACGGUGCUCUGACUCCCUAACGCUACUGGAGUUGAUGUUGGGUGAUUUUGGGCGCGAGCCGUCGACCACUGUUCGCCAUUGCAGGCAUGACAAGGUAACUGACAGAGUGAGAAGUUGCGCAAUCUUCAGGAAGUUCCACAUGUCUUUGUUAAACCCUGUUUAACAAACAUAGUCCACUGCCGUAUUUUGCACCGUAUUUUGUAUUUUGUAUUUAUUAUUUUCUUUUCAAAAUCUUUUCUGUUAAACUUGCCACAUCUGUGCACAUUUAUGAGCUGUUUGCU